RNAcentral lists this ribosomal RNA (253 nucleotides) under uncultured bacterium. Its description in RNAcentral is "partial 16S ribosomal RNA". It matches the Rfam family "Bacterial small subunit ribosomal RNA", at positions 524 to 776 of the family's 1533-position model. The record is from RNAcentral.
UACGUAGGGUGCGAGCGUUGUUCGGAAUCACUGGGCGUAAAGGGUGCGUAGGCGGCACGGUAAGUCAGAGGUGAAAUCCCGGAGCUCAACUUCGGAAUUGCCUCCGAUACUGCCGUGCUUGAGGACUGGAGAGGAGAUUGGAAUUCACAGUGGAGCAGUGAAAUGCGUAGAUAUUGUGAGGAACACUAGUGGCGAAGGCGAAUCUCUGGACAGUUCCUGACGCUGAGGCACGAAGGCCAGGGGAGCAAACGGG